UUCCCCCAGUAGCGGCGAGCGAACGGGGAGCAGCCCAGAGCCUGAAUCAGUGUGUGUGUUAGUGGAAGCGUCUGGAAAGGCGUGCGAUACAGGGUGACAGCCCCGUACACAAAAAUGCACAUAUUGUGAGCUCGAUGAGUAGGGCGGGACACGUGGUAUCCUGUCUGAAUAUGGGGGGACCAUCCUCCAAGGCUAAAUACUCCUGACUGACCGAUAGUGAACCAGUACCGUGAGGGAAAGGCGAAAAGAAC
Molecule: ribosomal RNA, 251 nt
Filed under: Escherichia coli
Lineage: Bacteria; Pseudomonadati; Pseudomonadota; Gammaproteobacteria; Enterobacterales; Enterobacteriaceae
Description: partial 23S ribosomal RNA
Rfam family: Bacterial large subunit ribosomal RNA
Source: RNAcentral